RNAcentral lists this ribosomal RNA (95 nucleotides) under Shewanella atlantica. Lineage: Bacteria; Pseudomonadati; Pseudomonadota; Gammaproteobacteria; Alteromonadales; Shewanellaceae. The record is from RNAcentral.
GUCCCACCUGAUCCCAUCUCGAACUCAGAAGUGAAACGCAAUUGCGCCGAUGGUAGUGUGGGGUCUCCCCAUGUGAGAGUAGGUCAUUUCCAGGC